This 253-nucleotide ribosomal RNA is filed under the name uncultured bacterium. RNAcentral describes it as "partial 16S ribosomal RNA". It matches the Rfam family "Bacterial small subunit ribosomal RNA", at positions 524 to 776 of the family's 1533-position model. The record is from RNAcentral.
UACGGAGGGUGCAAGCGUUAUCCGGAUUCACUGGGUUUAAAGGGUGCGUAGGUGGGCAGGUAAGUCCGUGGUGAAAUCUCUGAGCUUAACUCAGAAACUGCCGUGGAUACUAUUUGUCUUGAAUAUUAUGGAGGUGAGCGGAAUAUGUCAUGUAGCGGUGAAAUGCUUAGAUAUGACAUAGAACACCAAUUGCGAAGGCAGCUCACUACACAAAGAUUGACACUGAGGCACGAAAGCGUGGGGAUCAAACAGG